ACAAUUUCAUUGAUGGUUCGACUGACCAUUCUUACAAAGUCUUCAUGUCUAGCUAGUUUAGUGUGUUGGGACUCCCUAGAACUCCCGAUACUAAGUUUCCGAAUUUCAUCUUGGAUUUUGCCAAAUGCACUCAAUGCCUUUUCCAAGUUCUCGGUCUUUUUGGCCUCUUUCUUCAAUUGUGAGCGGGCGUCUUCCAAUGCUUGAUCGGCUACCAUGAUCUGCAACUGACGAUUCUCCAACUCUUUCCUCAACUUUUCAUUCUGCUCCUCAAGACUAAGGGAGACCAACGAUGCCCUUUCUCUUCCUUGUUCCAUUAUUGAUUUGAUCCAUUCGUUGUACUCUAAGACGAC
RNAcentral lists this long non-coding RNA (350 nucleotides) under Coffea arabica (coffee). Its description in RNAcentral is "long non-coding RNA (CARA_LNC004400)". The record is from RNAcentral. Lineage: Eukaryota; Viridiplantae; Streptophyta; Magnoliopsida; Gentianales; Rubiaceae.